GGGCGGUUAGCUCAGUGGUUAGAGCACUACCCUUACAAGGUAGGGGUCGCAGGUUCAAGUCCUGCACCGCCCA
RNAcentral lists this transfer RNA (73 nucleotides) under bacterium. RNAcentral describes it as "tRNA-Val". It matches the Rfam family "tRNA". From Rfam's summary of the family: Transfer RNA (tRNA) molecules are approximately 80 nucleotides in length. RNAcentral also lists the same sequence under 4 other names. The record is from RNAcentral.